GACGAACGCUGGCGGCGUGCUUAACACAUGCAAGUCGAACGGAAAGGCCCUGCUUUUGUGGGGUGCUCGAGUGGCGAACGGGUGAGUAACACGUGAGUAACCUGCCCUUGACUUUGGGAUAACUUCAGGAAACUGGGGCUAAUACCGGAUAGGAGCUCCUGCUGCAUGGUGGGGGUUGGAAAGUUUCGGCGGUUGGGGAUGGACUCGCGGCUUAUCAGCUUGUUGGUGGGGUAGUGGCUUACCAAGGCUUUGACGGGUAGCCGGCCUGAGAGGGUGACCGGCCACAUUGGGACUGAGAUACGGCCCAGACUCCUACGGGAGGCAGAAGUGGGGAAUAUUGCACGAUGGGCGGAAGCCUGAUGCAGCAACGCCGCGUGCGGGAUGACGACCUUCGGGUUGUAAACCGCUUUCGCCUGUGACGAAGCGUGAGUGACGGUAAUGGGUAAAGAAGCACCGGCUAACUACGUG
This 468-nucleotide ribosomal RNA is filed under the name uncultured bacterium. Its description in RNAcentral is "partial 16S ribosomal RNA". It matches the Rfam family "Bacterial small subunit ribosomal RNA", at positions 28 to 507 of the family's 1533-position model. The record is from RNAcentral.